GUGGGGAAUAUUGGACAAUGGGCGAAAGCCUGAUCCAGCCAUGCCGCGUGUGUGAAGAAGGUCUUCGGAUUGUAAAGCACUUUAAGUUGGGAGGAAGGGCAGUAAGUUAAUACCUUGCUGUUUUGACGUUACCAACAGAAUAAGCACCGGCUAACUUCGUGCCAGCAGCCGCGGUAAUACGAAGGGUGCAAGCGUUAAUCGGAAUUACUGGGCGUAAAGCGCGCGUAGGUGGUUCAGCAAGUUGAAGGUGAAAUCCCCGGGCUCAACCUGGGAACUGCCUCCAAAACUACUGAGCUAGAGUACGGUAGAGGGUAGUGGAAUUUCCUGUGUAGCGGUGAAAUGCGUAGAUAUAGGAAGGAACACCAGUGGCGAAGGCGACCACCUGGACUGAUACUGACACUGAGGUGCGAAAGCGUGGGGAGCAAACAGGAUUAGAAACCCCAGUAGUCC
RNAcentral lists this ribosomal RNA (450 nucleotides) under uncultured bacterium. RNAcentral's name for it is "partial 16S ribosomal RNA". It matches the Rfam family "Bacterial small subunit ribosomal RNA", at positions 354 to 796 of the family's 1533-position model. The record is from RNAcentral.